ACGUACUAACUUUUAAGUCACGUAGUCGCGUAAAAGUAUAGGCCCAUUCACCGUCACUCGAAAACCUCGCGGUGUCGACGGAGGGCGUACCGUUUGAGAUUGGCAUCGAACCAUGAGCAUUAUGUCAGUUUUUGAUCGCCUUCGCAUUGUGUCUUAAAAACACGGGAACGAAAUCUCAAAUCAGCUGAGAAACAAACCAAAUAUUUCAUGAAAUCACAUUGCAAACAAUACAUACAAUUACAUAAAAUAUUUCCUAAAUAAUUAGCUCCUCAAAAUUCCGUUUUGGCAGCCAAUGGAACAACUUUUAUCGCGCUCGUCGUGCGUGCACACCGGAUGGCUAGCCAGUGAUAUCGACACGCAGCCAUAACAGGAUCUUGUAGUUCCCAUAUCCUAAACUCUUAUCCUGGAUUUGCGAUGCGCAUAAUGAGAUGUCAGUUUACGUAUUGCACUUAUUGUAAACCGGUCGUAAGAGUCAAGGAAAUGCCAGCUCCUACAUCAUAUUUGUCCUCUAGUGAGGCGAAUUCACAGCCAAUCACAGGCAAGCGGAACGUAACGAGAGUAAUCUCUUAAUUAGCUUGGAAGUUAGAGUCUAAAUAGUUUUUAUAACUUGGGGCCAAAAGGUAAUCAAGCAGAAUGUUCAUGGAAAAGUCAAUGAUAGUGAAGCGAUAGUGAAAUCACUUAAAUGGAUCAAUCGAAUCAAUUAGGUCAAAGUGUGGAAUGGAAUCUUCAUCUCAAAGAUUAUUGGAAUCAAUUAAUAGAAAGUGAUGGGAGGAAUGAUUAUUCAAAGAUUUUACGAUCACUUCAUUGGAUCAAGAGCAGUCUAAAAAUGUGAGGAACGAUGGAUGACGUAACUUGCCCUUCCAUAAUGGGAAUCGCGUCCUCGUGAUCCUCAUUGAUAUCUACCAUGAUAUUUGCAUUGUUUAUCUUUGUUUUACAACAAAAGUAUAUUAUUGGCAAAAUAAUCAAUAUUGCGGUAAUGAUGGCAAUAUCUGUUAUAAUGCUUGUCCAGGUAAUUGUUUUGGAUUUAAAAUUUAUCUCUUCUAGGUUUUCCAAAUGUUUAUGAUCAACAUAUUACAAAGUCAAAUUACUAUAUUCCCCACAGCUUAUAUUCCUAAUUACAUUGGGUAGUAUGACGUUAUUUUCAAUGUAGUAUAUUUGAUUCUUAAACGUAAGGUUAUUUAUAUUUAUUUGAGAAUUUGUGUAUUUAAUCAAAUUAUGUCGUGGUAAUAUAAUAUUUUGGUCUUUAUCAUUUGAAUUUUUUGUUACAAUGAUAUUUUUCAUUUAUUUGUCCGACUUACUUGAAGGAGCGAUCUUUCCAUUCCCUAAGUGGGGUGAACUCAGACCAAAAACGGAUCGAUGAAUGAUUUCGAUGGCAACGCAUGGUAAACACGUCAAUGGUCUUUGGCAACCAUUUAUCAAUUUAUAUUUGUCGAACAGAUGGCUGUGUGCUGGAGAGCUCUUUGCUGAGACGAAGGGAUUUAUGUGUGCUAUUCGGGUCGGCGUGGUCGCCACCCGAGUUUAUGAAAAACGGGUGGCGAACGACCAAUGCAGAAUAUAUGGUUCGGCACUGGAGACUUUGGACCAUCUUAUUUCUGGUUGCACUAUAAUGGCGGCGGUGCAAUACACAAUGCUGCAUGUAAAGUGAUUAACCGAAGCUUUGCAUACAAACAUGGAAUGAUGACGGGAACAUGUCCGGUUUACUGAUAUGAGCCCCAGGCACUACCUAAUCGUCCUGUUUACACAACAUUGAACGGAAGUACGUGGAGAAUACGGUGAACUAUGAGGCACUUGUUUGGAAAUCAAAGAAAUUUGGCGUCUCGAGCGGUUGGUUGUAGAUGCCAUAAUGCAUGUAUUGUACCAAAAUCCCUCAUGGCUUCCU
This 1879-nucleotide long non-coding RNA is filed under the name Hermetia illucens (black soldier fly). RNAcentral describes it as "uncharacterized LOC119647961". The record is from RNAcentral. Lineage: Eukaryota; Metazoa; Arthropoda; Insecta; Diptera; Stratiomyidae.